Molecule: regulatory RNA element, 241 nt
Organism: Terriglobus roseus DSM 18391
Lineage: Bacteria; Pseudomonadati; Acidobacteriota; Terriglobia; Terriglobales; Acidobacteriaceae
Source: Rfam
ACUGCGCUUCGGCGCACUGUUCGACAUUCACGCCAACUGCAUUGGAAUGCAAUGGGAAGCGCGGUGAGAUUCCGCCACUGCCCCGCAACUGUAAUCGCGCUCCUCCGAUGCAUUGAGGAGACGCGGAGCUUCGAGGCGCCGGUCGUCACUGCGAACAGCGGGAAGGCGAGGUGCGUGGCAUUACCGAGGCCCUGCGCAAGCGCGUAAGUCAGGAGACCGAUUCCGGUGCUGACAGCAAACC